UAGGGAACCUAGUGGUGAAGCUGUUUUCCU
RNAcentral lists this non-coding RNA (30 nucleotides) under Rattus norvegicus (Norway rat). Lineage: Eukaryota; Metazoa; Chordata; Mammalia; Rodentia; Muridae. The record is from RNAcentral.